AUGGAGUCAUGUUACAAUGCCUGGAGUGGUGGGCAGAAGGCUGAGUCUGCCGCCAGCUGUAUCUGCAAGGUGCUGGCUGUGACCCAGGAAAAUGAGCACCUGAUGGAAGAUUAUGAACCCCUGGCCAGUGAUCUUCUAGAGUGGAUCCAGUGCGCCAUUCCGACCGUCGUGCCUCAUAAGACCAUCCAGGAGAUUCAGUAGAAGCUGGAGCACUUCCGAGACUAUAGGCAUCUCUGCACCCCCUUCCCUGCCCAAGGUGCAGGAGAAGGGUCAGCCGGAGAUCAAUUACACACUGCAGACCAAGCUGUGGCUCAGCUAUCGACCUGCCUUCAUGCACUCCGAAGGCAGGAUGUUCUCAGACAUCAACAAUGAGUUGGCAAGACAUGGAGCAGGCUGAGAAGGGCUAUGAAGAAUGACCGUUGAAUGAAAUCUGUAGGCUGGAACAACUUGAUCAUCUGGCAGAGAAGUUCCAGCAGGACUGGACUGGUGGGAAGGCCAUGCUGAAGCACUGGGACUAAAAGACAGCCACUUUGUCAGACACCAAAUCUCUGAUCCGAAAAUAUGAGGCCUUUGAGAGUGACCUGGCCGCAUACCAGGACCGUACAGAGUAGAUUGCUGCAAAUUGCCCAGGAGCUCAACGAGUUGGACUACUAUGACCCCCACAGUGUCAACACACGGUGCCAGAAGACCUGUGACCAGUGGAAUAAUCUGGGUUCUCUGACCCACAGUUGCAGGGAAGCCUUGGAGAAACACAGAGAAACAGCUAGAGACCAUCAACCAUCCAAAUGGGCUGCACCCUUCAACAACUGGAUGGAGAGUGCCAUAGAGGACCUGAAGGGCUUGUUCAUCGUCCAUACCAUCGAGGAGAUCGAGGGAGGGCCUGAUCUCAGUCCAUGACCAGUUCAAGUUCACCCUGCCAGAUGCUGACCGGGAGCGUGAGGCCAUCCUGGCCAUCCACAAGGAGGCCCAAAGGAUCGCUGAGAACAACCACAUCAAGCUGUCAGGCAGCAACCCCUAGACCACCAUUGGCCCUUAGAUCAUCAACUCCAAGUGGGAGAAGGUGCAGCAGCUGGUGCCAAAGCUGGACCAUGCACUCCUGGAAAGCAGAGCAAGCAGCAAUGCAUUGAAACCUACAGUUUGCCAGCCGAAUCAAUAUAGUGGGCCCUGGAUCCGGACCAAGACAGAGGAAAUCUGGCACAUCUCCAUGGAGAUGAACCGGACUCUAGAAGACCAGCUGAGUCACCUGAAGCAGUAUGAGAGCAGUGUUGUGGACUACUCAAUGUAGUCCUGCUGUAGCAGCAGAACCAGCUCAUCCAGGAGCAACUACACAAUGGAGCAUAUUCAUACGUGCUGUGAGCUCACUACCAUUGCCCGCACCAUCAACGAGGUGGAAAACCAGAUCCUCACUAGAGAUGCCAAGGGUAUCAGCCAGGAACAGAUAUGCAGGAGUUCCGGGCAUCCUUCAUCCACUUUGACAAGGACCAUGGCGAGGCACUGGGACCUGAGGAAUUCAAAGCUUCCCUCAUCAGCCUGGGCCAAGUUGUUGAGAAUGACGAGCAGGGUGAUGCUGCAUUCAACCUGAUCAUGAGUGUGGUUGACCCCAACCAUCGUGGCCUCCUGCCCUUCCAAGCCUUCAGUGACUUCAUCUAGAGGGAGACCACAGACAUAGACACAGCUGAUCUGAUCACAGACACAUUACUCCCUUCAAGGUCCUGACAGGGGACAAGGACUUAAUCACUGCUGAGGAACUGCGGAGAGAGCUGCCCCCACCCCACCAGGCUGAUGAGGCAGGUCUCCCGCAUAGCACCCUACCAAGGGUCUGAUGCUGCUCCUGGUGCCCUUGACUACAAAUCCUUCUCCACAGCCCUCUAUCGGGAGAGCGACCUGUGA
Molecule: RNA transcript, 1890 nt
Organism: Mus pahari (shrew mouse)
Lineage: Eukaryota; Metazoa; Chordata; Mammalia; Rodentia; Muridae
Gene name: alpha-actinin-4-like
Exons: 3
Source: RefSeq, a predicted model, not a curated record